RNAcentral lists this ribosomal RNA (567 nucleotides) under uncultured bacterium. RNAcentral's name for it is "partial 16S ribosomal RNA". The record is from RNAcentral.
CAAUAAUUCCGGAUAACGCUUGCCACCUACGUAUUACCGCGGCUGCUGGCACGUAGUUAGCCGUGGCUUUCUGAUUAGGUACCGUCAAGAUGUGCACAGUUACUUACACAUAUGUUCUUCCCUAAUAACAGAGUUUUACGAUCCGAAGACCUUCAUCACUCACGCGGCGUUGCUCCGUCAGGCUUUCGCCCAUUGCGGAAGAUUCCCUACUGCUGCCUCCCGUAGGAGUCUGGACCGUGUCUCAGUUCCAGUGUGGCCGAUCACCCUCUCAGGUCGGCUAUGCAUCGUUGCCUUGGUAAGCCGUUACCUUACCAACUAGCUAAUGCAGCGCGGAUCCAUCUAUAAGUGACAGCAAGACCGUCUUUCACUUUUGAACCAUGCGGUUCAAAAUAUUAUCCGGUAUUAGCUCCGGUUUCCCGAAGUUAUCCCAGUCUUAUAGGUAGGUUAUCCACGUGUUACUCACCCGUCCGCCGCUAACAUCAGAGAAGCAAGCUUCUCGUCCGUUCGCUCGACUUGCAUGUAUUAGGCACGCCGCCAGCGUUCAUCCUGAGCCAGGAUCAAACUCUC